Molecule: non-coding RNA, 118 nt
Filed under: Ictidomys tridecemlineatus (thirteen-lined ground squirrel)
Lineage: Eukaryota; Metazoa; Chordata; Mammalia; Rodentia; Sciuridae
Description: Spermophilus tridecemlineatus (thirteen-lined ground squirrel) Bacterial large subunit ribosomal RNA
Rfam family: Bacterial large subunit ribosomal RNA
Source: Rfam by way of RNAcentral
CCCGAAAUCAGAUGAGCUACUUAUGAGCAGUUAAUAAGAGCUCAUCUGUCUAUGUUGCAAAACAGGGGAAUGACUUAUAAGUAGAGGUGAAAAACCUAGGCAGCCUGGUGAUAGUUGG